Long non-coding RNA from Solea senegalensis (Senegalese sole), 1212 nucleotides. RefSeq lists it as uncharacterized. NCBI's taxonomy places the organism in Eukaryota, Metazoa, Chordata, Actinopteri, Pleuronectiformes, Soleidae. The transcript is spliced from 3 exons. The record is from RefSeq and is a predicted model, not a curated record.
GUGUUCUCUGUUAAUCUCUCAACAAAAGCUGUGACACAAGUUCAACAGACUAUACAGGGCCAGUGACCUGUCACGUGACGGCCGGCAAAACUGCUAGGUCAAGACUUUUUUGUCCCCCCCACCCCCCCGUUCCACAUGUCAACUUGUGAAUGCCCACGCGUCUCUUGUGUAGAUGUAAAUGAGGACACACACAAAAAAACGUGGCUCUGUUGUGUUUCCACAGGCUGUUUUUUGUGCACUUUGGGUAAACAGAGAAAUCUUAGAAGACGACGUGGGUAGGGAAUCCUUUUUUUUUUUUUUAUGUCCUUAAUGACCUUGUUGUUAUUGAACGGUUGUAGCCGUCGCCACAGUGUUCUCCGUACGUUUACGACACGACGUCCAGCCGUAGCGCGGGCCGCGCUCCGUGCCCCUAACUGCCCUUCCUACUGCCAUUCGUCUCCACAAACACGUUGACAUUUACAUUUAUUGAAAUCCAAUGGGCCCGUGUCGUGUUUUUAUUACGUGACACAGCCGUGACUGUUACUCAGUGGUUGUAAUCUGUCUCCAGUAGCACACGACGAUUAAGUUCAACUGACCGGAACACUGCGAUGCACUUUUACGGCAUUAUUGUUUUUUUAUAUUUCAGUUUCUCCACAGCGUAUAUAUAUAUACAUAUAUAUAUAUAUAUAUAUAAUAAUACUGUGUUUAUAGAUGUAUUUACGGAGCAGGCGGAGAGAGCAUACCUCAUUACGGUGAAAAUGACGACCAAAUGGCUCGUUAUGUUGAGGAGGGUCGUUAAAAGCAUAACCAGAUAUAUGAUAACUGUCGAUGUGCGUUCUGUGUGUCCGUGUUCUUAAAUGUCCGACUACUGCUGUAAUGACUGUUUUGUCUUUUGUCCAGCGUGUGAAACUGAUCCCAGUGACCUGUGAACGAAAAAGGCGAAACAGAGGACAUCGUAAUAACGGCGAGCACUGGGAACUCUUGUUUGGUUUUUUGUGUGUGUGCGUCGACGUCAGACUCUUCCUCGUUGUAGCUUGUGUGUACUCGUCUCGCGCCAAACACUGACUGCCAAUAAAACAACAAUAUCCAAAAUGAGAGAUUACCAUGAUUUUUGGGACGGGCUGUCUGAGAAGAGGCGUACGCGUGGCAAUUUUGGCUCCUGCUGCCAGACAUGUAACCGGCUGCUUGGCCCAGUUUCCUGGCGUCAGACACCGCGCUGAUACAGUCGCCGUC